UAGUUAUAUUCUUUAAACUUAAAGAAUUUGGCGGUAUUUUAGUCUAUUUAGAGGAAUUUGUCCCUUAAUCGAUAAUCCUCGUUUUAUCUUACUUGAUUUUGUUUUAUCAGUAUGUAUAUCGUUGUUAUAAGUUUAUUUUUUUAGAAUAAAAAUUUACUUAAAUUUUAAUUUUAAUUUAUUUCAAAUCAAGGUGCAGUUUAUAAUUAAGUGGAGAUGAAUUACAAUAUUAUUUGAGUAUAUGGAUUUAACAUUAAAAAGUUAAUGAAGGUGGAUUUAAUAGUAAUUUUAAUUAUAGUGUUAAUUUGAUUUUAGCUCUAAAAUAAGUACACAUCGCCCG
Molecule: ribosomal RNA, 337 nt
Filed under: Anarchodes salmanazar
Lineage: Eukaryota; Metazoa; Arthropoda; Insecta; Phasmatodea; Lonchodidae
Description: partial small subunit ribosomal RNA
Source: RNAcentral